UAGGGAAUAUUGGGCAAUGGAGGGAACUCUGACCCAGCCAUGCCGCGUGCAGGAUGAAGGCCUUCGGGUUGUAAACUGCUUUUGUACGGAACGAAAAAGCUCCUUCUAAUACAGGGGGCCCAUGACGGUACCGUAAGAAUAAGCACCGGCUAACUACGUGCCAGCAGCCGCGGUAAUACGUAGGGUGCGAGCGUUAAUCGGAAUUACUGGGCGUAAAGCGUGCGCAGGCGGUUAUGUAAGACAGGAUGUGAAAUCCCCGGGCUCAACCUGGGAACUGCAUUUGUGACUGCAUGGCUAGAGUACGGUAGAGGGGGAUGGAAUUCCGCGUGUAGCAGUGAAAUGCGUAGAUAUGCGGAGGAACACCGAUGGCGAAGGCAAUCCCCUGGACCUGUACUGACGCUCAUGCACGAAAGCGUGGGGAGCAAACAGGAUUAGAUACCCCAGUAGUCCCUGAGCGGGCUGGCAAGGCGCAU
This 473-nucleotide ribosomal RNA is filed under the name uncultured bacterium. RNAcentral's name for it is "bacterial SSU rRNA". It matches the Rfam family "Bacterial small subunit ribosomal RNA", at positions 355 to 825 of the family's 1533-position model. The record is from RNAcentral.